RNAcentral lists this long non-coding RNA (808 nucleotides) under Felis catus (domestic cat). RNAcentral's name for it is "lncRNA (ENSFCAG00000053246.1)". Lineage: Eukaryota; Metazoa; Chordata; Mammalia; Carnivora; Felidae. The record is from RNAcentral.
GAGGAGAUAAGAAUGCUGAGGAAGACUCUAUAACCAGUCUGUCUUCUUGGGUAGCUGAAUGCCCCUGAAGGCGUGGAAGGUCUUGCUAGUUAUUAUGGACCAAAAUAAGGCAAGCCCAGUGGAGGAAAAGAGUUGGCCUUGGGUCAGCUGCAGGAGCAGAAGCCACAGCUUGAGGCAACACCAUCUCUGGCAUCAGCAGCUCUGUAGGGAGGGGCGCUCUUUGGAGGGACUCCUGCAGGAGUCCAGGAGGCAGAAGAUGACCUGGCACCUGUGCAGGGACAGCCAGCAACCGUGCAGAGUGAACCAGCUCGUGCUCCAUAUUUUGCCUCUGCUCCUGCCUCUGCUCCUGCCUCUGCUCCUGCCUCUGCUCCUGCCUCUGCUCCUGCCUCUGCUCCUGCCUCUGCUGCUUCCACUGUUCCUGCUCCUAUUCCAGCUCCUGCCCCUGCUGCUGAAGAGUGUUUUUGCUCCUGACACUCUUCCUGCUCCUGCCUCUGCUGCUUCCACUGUUCCUGCUCCUAUUCCAGCUCCUGCCCCUGCCACUGCCUCUGCCCCUCUUCCUGUUCCUACCCCUGCCAUUGUUCUGCCCCUGUCCCUGUUCCUGUCCCCAGCCCUCCCACAGUCCCUGCCCCUGGCCUUGCUCCUGCCCGUUUGUGUCAUUACCCCUGCCCCUGCCCUUGGUCCUGUUCUUGCCUUGCCCCUGCCCAACACCCCAGCAGAAUGCUUCUUCCACUCCCCAUUUGUGCUUUCCUUCUGCUAUAAUUCAACUAUUAUUUUAUCAUUUUGUGUUUUGUAUAGUCUUUAUUAUUAA